This 467-nucleotide ribosomal RNA is filed under the name uncultured bacterium. RNAcentral describes it as "partial 16S ribosomal RNA". It matches the Rfam family "Bacterial small subunit ribosomal RNA", at positions 28 to 507 of the family's 1533-position model. The record is from RNAcentral.
GAUGAACGCUGGCGGCGUGCUUAACACAUGCAAGUCGAACGGAAAGGCCCAAGCUUGCUUGGGUACUCGAGUGGCGAACGGGUGAGUAACACGUGGGUGAUCUGCCCUGCACUUCGGGAUAAGCCUGGGAAACUGGGUCUAAUACCGGAUAGGACGAUGGUUUGGAUGCCAUUGUGGAAAGUUUUUCGGUGUGGGAUGAGCUCGCGGCCUAUCAGCUUGUUGGUGGGGUAAUGGCCUACCAAGGCGUCGACGGGUAGCCGGCCUGAGAGGGUGUACGGCCACAUUGGGACUGAGAUACGGCCCAGACUCCUACGGGAGGCAGCAGUGGGGAAUAUUGCACAAUGGGCGCAAGCCUGAUGCAGCGACGCCGCGUGGGGGAUGACGGCCUUCGGGUUGUAAACUCCUUUCGCUAGGGACGAAGCGUUUUUGUGACGGUACCUGGAGAAGAAGCACCGGCUAACUACGUG